ACAGAGGUCCCGAGCGUUGUUCGGAUUCAUUGGGCGUAAAGGGUGUGUAGGAGGUUGGGUAAGUCGGAUGUGAAAUCUCACCGCUUAACGGUGAAAUGGCGUUCGAUACUGCUCAGCUAGAGGAUCGGAGGGGAGAGCGGAAUUCUUGGUGUAGCAGUGAAAUGCGUAGAUAUCAAGAGGAACACCGGUGGCGAAAGCGGCUCUCUGGAAGAUUCCUGACUCUGAAACACGAAAGCUAGGGGAGCAAACGGGA
Molecule: ribosomal RNA, 253 nt
Filed under: uncultured prokaryote
Description: partial 16S ribosomal RNA
Rfam family: Bacterial small subunit ribosomal RNA
Source: RNAcentral